Molecule: long non-coding RNA, 2144 nt
Filed under: Zalophus californianus (California sea lion)
Lineage: Eukaryota; Metazoa; Chordata; Mammalia; Carnivora; Otariidae
Description: lncRNA (ENSZCAG00015018030.1)
Source: RNAcentral
AGUUUUCUGAGAGCCAAGUCCUGUAUACAUCUAACAAGGCUUAGGAUCAAAUUGUGUGCCCGAAAUGAAACAAUUUCUUCUUCAUAAAAUGCUGAAUUGUCAAAGUCUGUCAACUUUGGGGUUUAUGAGUAAGAGCAGUUUUCAGUUUCUGGUAUUGACUUAACAUAUCCAGCUUCAAAAAACAUAAAGAAUGGCUCUGAGUAACACGAUGCACUUUUACCCCUGGCAGACGAGUCUCUGAUUAUCACACGUUGCACUUUGGCCAUCAGUUCACACAGAAUCAUUAAAACAUUGGCCUUGAAAAAACGAAUAUGCUGACUAAGCGCGCUGAAGCCUACCACACAGUUCCUGUUCCUACUGUCAGAAUGAUUAUCAAAACCCACAAACUGAUUAUUUCUCAAGUUUCGUCCUUGGGCCUACCAAAAGGAGCCCCAGGGGUGCUGAAUGCUUUACUUGCUCACAGUAUACACCUCGUAUAAAGAUUUUUGCCUCCCAACAGCAUUAGACUGACGUCUGUUGAACGCAAUGCAAGGGCAACUCCCUUGCCAAAGAUAUAAAAGAAUUUAAAUCCAGGAAAUAUUUACAAGUCCGGAGUGAAUUCAUGCUAUAUUAAUUGAUGGCAUCAUUACUUAGGGAGCCGAGCAAGAAUGGAAGAAUGGGGGACCUCCUCAAAGGCUCUCACACGGUGGUCCCCGGGAGUCCCAGGGGGCCUUGGCCGCUGGGAGGCUCCCAAGAAAAGUAAAGGCGCAGAGGAGUGCCAUGAACUUUGACCCCAGCACGGCACAAACAAGACCGACCGCACCCCAGGAGGGCCCGCGGGGUAACUGAAGUUGCAGGGUCUUCCGGGUCUGAGGAAACCCCGCCCCGCCCCGUCCCGCCCCGCCCACCGCCAACUCCGCCAAUCCUCAGGCGCCAUCGACCGCUCGGCUUCCCAGGCACCUCCAAUCAAGUACCUAUAUCCGGCCCCAUGCCUGUGCCCUGCGGUCAGGGGAGGUCAGUAGAGAGCCUAUCGGAGCCGAGCUGGGGGCGUGGUCGGGGGCAGGGGGCGGACGAACUGAGACCGCGGGGCGGAGCGCGCUCGGCGCAGUCGGGUGCGAUUGGCCACCCCUGGCAGCAGCCGCACCUCGGACAGCAGCAGCCGCGACCGCCGGAGGGUCCGUGUGGCGCCCGGCGGCGACGGCGGCGGAGUCCUGCGUGAGAGUGGGACCCGACACCGAGACCGCGGGCGGAGGCUCCGCGUGGCCGGACCCGACACUCAGCGACCCGAGCGGGGGAUCCUCCGGGGGACAAGCGGCAGAAGAGCGACUCGGGAACAAGUGUGGGAGAGGAAGCGGCGGCGGCGACGCCGGGCCCGGGGGUGGUGACAGCAGGUCUGAGCUUCUAUCAGCUGUUUUGCUUUGAUGUCUCCACCUCUUUGCCACUUUAAUCAAGCCUUCCUGAUGAUGACAUUUGCUUCUACUUAUGGCACUGUACAUCUAACAUUUAUCAAGUGCCAAGGAAACCCAGGGAGGUUUGAGUACUAGUGAAGAAGAAACAAAAAUGUGAACCUGACUAAAACAUCCAUACUGGAAGAACUGGAUUUGGUCAUUUCCGGCUGUAGGAAGGAGGUGAGAAAGAGGAAGGGGGCUGUCCUUAAAAAGGCAAAAGAUGAGCAGAGAAUGAGGACACAAUUGUUGAGGAACAGAAAGAAUAGCAGAAAUUUAGGAAGAAAAAAGCACUUGGCAAAAUAUCCUUCAGUAUACUAAAGAUUUUUCAGUGUGUGUAUAUUUAAUGUCAUGAGGUUAUUUAGAAAACUGGCUCUGGGCUCAUCUUUACUUACAGUGAGUCUUAUAUUUGAGAGCUGGCUUCACUAUGAUUAAUCCUCUCUUCUUUGGUACUCAGCCUCCACCCCGACACACAGACACAGUCUCUGAGAAUUAUCUCCUUUUUCACUUGAAAUUCAGCUCACAUUUCCUUACUCAGACUUUUGGAAGUUACCACUCAGACAGAUGCAAAUUCAGUAUUAUGCCUGCCAAAAUGCGCAGAAAAGAGACUUUCUUUUACACCUUCCAUCUUUUGAGCUUUUGGUCCUGCUCUUUCAAUCUUUGCUAAAUAGUAAAUGGGGAGAUUGUUGUUCAGAUGAACACGAGUGCAUUUGCAUUACU